This 74-nucleotide transfer RNA is filed under the name Streptomyces phage StarPlatinum. Its description in RNAcentral is "tRNA-Ala". It matches the Rfam family "tRNA". From Rfam's summary of the family: Transfer RNA (tRNA) molecules are approximately 80 nucleotides in length. Their secondary structure includes four short double-helical elements and three loops (D, anti-codon, and T loops). Further hydrogen bonds mediate the characteristic L-shaped molecular structure. tRNAs have two regions of fundamental functional importance: the anti-codon, which is responsible for specific mRNA codon recognition, and the 3' end, to which the tRNAs corresponding amino acid is attached (by aminoacyl-tRNA synthetases). tRNAs cope with the degeneracy of the genetic code in two manners: having more than one tRNA (with a specific anti-codon) for a particular amino acid; and 'wobble' base-pairing, i.e. permitting non-standard base-pairing at the 3rd anti-codon position. The record is from RNAcentral. Lineage: Duplodnaviria; Heunggongvirae; Uroviricota; Caudoviricetes; Stanwilliamsviridae. RNAcentral also lists the same sequence under 21 other names.
GGGGUUGUAGCUCAAUUGGAAGAGCAUCUGCAUGGCAUGCAGAAGGUUGUGGGUUCGAGUCCCAUCUUCUCCAC